RNAcentral lists this ribosomal RNA (253 nucleotides) under uncultured bacterium. RNAcentral describes it as "partial 16S ribosomal RNA". It matches the Rfam family "Bacterial small subunit ribosomal RNA", at positions 524 to 776 of the family's 1533-position model. The record is from RNAcentral.
UACGAGGGGGGCAAGCGUUAAUCGGAAUUACUGGGCGUAAAGCGUGCGCAGGCGGUUAUGCAAGACAGAGGUGAAAUCCCCGGGCUCAACCUGGGAACUGCCUUUGUGACUGCAUAGCUAGAGUACGGUAGAGGGGGAUGGAAUUCCGCGUGUAGCAGUGAAAUGCGUAGAUAUGCGGAGGAACACCGAUGGCGAAGGCAAUCCCCUGGACCCGUACUGACGCUCAUGCACGAAAGCGUGGGGAGCAAACAGG